Molecule: ribosomal RNA, 447 nt
Filed under: uncultured bacterium
Lineage: Bacteria
Description: partial 16S ribosomal RNA
Rfam family: Bacterial small subunit ribosomal RNA
Source: RNAcentral
AGCGAACGCUGGCGGCAGGCUUAACACAUGCAAGUCGAACGCCCCGCAAGGGGAGUGGCAGACGGGUGAGUAACACGAGGGAACGUACCCUUUGGUUCGGAAUAACUUGGGGAAACUCAAGCUAAUACCGGAUAAGCCCUUAUGGGGAAAGGUUUACUGCCGAAGGAUCGGCCCGCGUCUGAUUAGCUAGUUGGUGAGGUAAUGGCCGACCAAGGCGACGUUCAGUAGCUGGUCGGAGAGGAUGAUCAGCCACCCUGGAACUGAGACACGGCCCAGACUGCUACGGGAAGCAGCAGUGGGGAAUAUUGGACAGUGGUGGCAACCCUGAUCCAGCCAUGCCGCGUGAGUGAUGAAGGCCUUAGGGUUGUAAAGCUCUUUUACUCGUGACGAUAAUGACUGUACCGGAAGAAUAAGCCCCGGCUAACUUCGUGCCAGCAGCCGCGGUAA